Molecule: ribosomal RNA, 431 nt
Filed under: uncultured bacterium
Lineage: Bacteria
Description: partial 16S ribosomal RNA
Rfam family: Bacterial small subunit ribosomal RNA
Source: RNAcentral
AACGAACGCUGGCGGCAUGCCUAACACACGCAAGUCGAACGAGACCUUCGGGUCUAGUGGCGCACGGGUGCGUAACGCGUGGGAACCUGCCCUUAGGUUCGGAAUAACUCCCCGAAAGGGGUGCUAAUACCGGAUAAUGUCUUCGGACCAAAGAUUUAUCGCCUUUGGAUGGGCCCGCGUUGGAUUAGCUAGUUGGUAGGGUAAAAGCCUACCAAGGCGACGAUCCAUAGCUGGUCUGAGAGGAUGAUCAGCCACACUGGGACUGAGACACGGCCCAGACUCCACGGGGGGGAGGAGGGGGGAAAUAUGGAACAAGGGGCGAAACCUGAAUCCACCAAGCCCGGGGGGGGAAUGAGGGCUUAGGGUUUGAAAAGCUUUUUUCCCGGGGAUAAAAAUGACAGAACGGGAAAAAAAAGCCCGGCCAACCCCCU